UUAAUUUAUUCCAGUCACUGGGAAGCUUGAAGUCAACCGUAAGCACAGUGUGGUGAUGAGUGAGAACCAUCUUAAGCUGACAUCUUGGCCACCUCCCAGAUCUGGGCCUCAUGCACUCAUCCUAGGGGUGAGUGGUUUUCUGGGACUUCUGAUGACGUUCAACUUUGCAAAAACGAUGAACUCCUCCUCGGAGCAAAGCUCACGGCUCAGGUGGUAAAGGAAAAAUACCAUCUUGAAUGGCUCCUUGAAGAGCAGAAGACUCCAGUUCACUGUUACGUGAUCCUCUAGGACAGCUGUUUCCUCAGCAAUUCACAGGAAAGAUUUCACCAGCUCAUUUGUGUUCUCCAUUCCACUGUCUGCGUUCAUUGUGUUAUUUUUGAAUGCACAGUCCAGGGUUGCUUUGGCGUUAUUUACGCAACCCUUGGGGAGUCUGAUCAAAAUCCAAGUCCCUGAGGAAGACUUAAUGAUAAGGUUUAGGGGGUUCUUUUCUACUGAAGUUCAGCGCCUCUUCCCCACACUGCUUUGCUCUUGACUGAUAGUAGGCUGGUCAGUGCAAAGACAGGGAACGCAGCCAGGGUGGUCACUAAAGCCAGACUGAACUCUGUGGCAACAAAUGCCCAGCAAACAGCAAAUUGCCUGAGAGAAAGCUCUCCCACUGACAUUUAUGGGGAAUUUCUUCAUGGAUCAUCAGAUGAAAUUGUUUAGUUAAGCCCUUCCCUUCUCUUUCUUUGUUUUUUCCCUUGGUUCUGACACUUGGAAAAUGCAUCUGGAUUUUCUAAGGAUGUCACUGUUUGGGUUAUGAUAUUUGGGUCAAUGCUCACCUACUGUUUACACAGAAUAAAAGGUUCUACUUCUGGGGUAAGCAAAUUACAAAGUCCUGGAUGCAACCCAUUUGCCAAGAUACACAAUUAGAAGAGAUGGGCUUACAAGCCUAGCCUGUCCAGAAGUCCUCUUUACACCAGCUCUGGGACAUCACUCCUUUAGCUGUAGCCUGCUCCAGGAACUGCUCCUGUGGCUCAAAACAUCCAGGGUAAAGACCCUUGCUCCUUCCCCUGAGCCUUCUUCCCUGCCUAGUGCUGGCUAAUGCUGUUGUGCUACUACAAGUGCGGAAGUCAUCUGCUUCAUGCCAAGCAGUACGUUGACAGAUUUCCUUUCAGGUGCUUGAUGAACUCAUGGCUGGCUUAAAGCAUAUGGCAAGUUUUACUCUUCCUAAUUGCCAUGCCCUUCUAUAAUGAAAAGAGCGGUAGGGAAAUUACCAUUGCUCAGAUGACUCAGGAAACCAGUAAUGAGAAGUAGAAUCUCUCACUACGGUGUUACCAGAUCACAAGUGAGUUAGGUGUGUUUUCAUGACCGGAAUGAGCCAAUCCAAGUCAGAUUUUUUUGCCAAGAUAUGUAACAUUGCUUUUCUGCCCCUGCCCAUGAGUUCCCUUCCCCCCUCCUGUGCUAGCUGUAGGGCUCACACAUCUGGGAGACCAAGUGCUCGAGGCUGAUCCAGCUAAACACUCCAGUCAGCAGAAAACAGGAAAAAAGGGAAGAGUUCCCUCAUCUGAGUGCUCAACUGCACAAUCUCCAAGGUGCAGAGGUGAUGAGGUGGGAAUGAAUGAUGGAGGGCUGAGUCACCACUUGCAGAGGUAGUACUGAAUUAGAUUGCCUUAAGCCAACGAUGAAAGCAGAGAAAAAUAAAUCAACAAAACCAAUAUAUUUUUCAUCUAGGAAUUAAAAGUCUAUCCAUUUGUCAUCAUUACACUGUCUGAAGUCUUUAUAGUAAUUACUACAAACCUAAACGAUGGGACUCAUCUCUACUCAUUUAUCUAGCUAGUUUAAGCUAGUUUCUCAGAUCUGUCUGCUUCACAGAUCCCUCCAGUCAACAGAGAGAGAAGCUUCCAGAGGAGGAUGCAUCUUAUCCAAACACAGACAUUUAAGGAGUCUCAACCAUCCUCCAAAGAUGCUCUUGAGUUUAGUGAAAACUUGAGAUCUGUCUCCAGAGUAGCUGCAUUUUACAUCCCAUCUUGUUCUUGCCUGGAUCAGAAAUCCCUACACUACAGGAACCAGGCUGAACAGUGCAAGUGCUUUCCUAUUGAUAUAUUCUCAAUGAAAGCAAAGUGCUCUUCUCCAUCCCUCCUGUGCUGGGACUGCACGUGCAAGGGGCCAGAUAAUUUCUUCAGUGUGUUUUGGAUCAGGCUUGUUAGGCCAGCAGCAGGUUCACAAAGGUAGGCUCUGUGACAUCAUAGGGAUCAUCCCAAAAAGAAGCUGACAUCAUAAAUGACAAAGCACUAGACAGAAGAAAAGUGCCCAGCUUUCUGAGCUCCAUGUGGGGAAAUGAGGCAGAAGUAUAUCCUUCCAAAGAACAAUUGAUCUGGGGGAUGGGAGGAGGAGAUAUGAUUUCAUUAAUAGUUGUUAACAGCAGCUUUCCCUCCGGAAGUUUUUUCUGCUAUCUUAAGGCAAGGUCUAUGCGUGUAUAACUUAAAAGAUCUGGUAUAGAGAUUUUGAUCAUAAUGACUUAAUUAAAUGGGGUGUUUUAGGAGCUUAAUAUUACAUUGUUGCUGAUGGCUGGCUGAUUGUUUUACUUGCCUUUGAUCAACUGUGUGAGUGGAGGGUCAUCCCAAUCACCAUGGGCCUACAGUAUCUGUCAUCACCCCUCCUUCCUAUUUGUCUUGCGUGUGUAUGCAGAAGGCCUGCUUUUGAUGAACUGUGAAAAGAAAGAUGAACUGUUGUAAUGAAAACAUUCCCUCCCCAAGAUCCUCUUUAGACAACGUUCAAUUGGUUUGACCUUGUACCCCCUUGCAGAGGACGGUAAUGAUUCCUGCAGAUGGCUGGGUCAUUCCUUGGACACUUGGGAUCAAGGGAGCCAGAUUCUCCAUGCCCAUUAACUCUCCAGCUAUGUAGGCUGCAGCUGGGAAAUGCAAGAGUUGCAUGGGCUGACAUACCUGAGAUAGUUGCCAUUGAGUCAGUUGGAGUCCUCAGAUAUCCUGGGAUGCCUAUUUAUACUGAAGGGACUUCUCCUAGGUUCAUGGCACAUGCACACUCAGUGCACACCAGCUCACCAAGGAGGGCUGGACCUCCUGGGACUGCAGAGGCACAGCCUGGGGGAAACUGGUCAAGCCCGACCUUCCUUGCCCAACUGCCUGCAAGCUUGCUCAUGGCAAUAUGCACAAGCAAAAUACAUACCUGCUGGUUUAGCCCUGCUUUCCUCAUUCUUCCUCUACUUCAGAAGUUUCUUGAAAAUGCAGACUUCGUAUGUGUGGCAGUUAUAAGGCAUCCUGACACUUGGGCACAGGCCAAACACUGACCGUUUUUGCUUUGUCAUGCUUCAAUGAAGCAAGAAUGCCACUGUUUUUCUUUGAAAUGGCACAGCUACCAGCAUCUUGAUACCUACAAUAAGGAGUCUUUUGCCAGAUGCUGCUGUUUGCAGCUCAGGCUGGCGGGGUGGGCUUUUCUGCCUACCUUUGCAGCACGGGUCACAUAGGUAUGACCCAUUUGAUCAGUUUAAUCACAUUUCCUUCAAUUUCAGGUGCUUUAGAUGUUACAGCCUGAGCUGGCUUCACUUCUUUUGGCCUUUAUGGUAGACACAUAAUGGUUUAGUCACCUGAAAGACUGCAGCCUUGUCACUUGUUCAAAGUCAAGGGCUCUAUACCAGUUUGACUGGUCCACAUUGGAUAUGAGAGCAGCCAGAAUGCUUCACCUUGUGUCAGGCCUAGUGCACGCUAACUCCACAGCUUGCCUGCAGUGUGCUUAGCCUACAACUCCCCAUCAGUGUUCCUGGAAAGCAGUACUGCCAGCAGAGGUUUUCAGAUUUGUGACGUUCAUACAGGCGGAAUUCCUCCUUGGCCUUUAGAGAUGUUCUGCUUGAGCAAGAGCUGGCAGGAGUGGCAGCAGAGAAAUUGAGCACAGCAUUGCCACGCUCCAGACCUUCUGCAGACCAAGAGAUUUUGAUCGCACAUAAGGAAGAUGUUUUUACAGUAAGAGUGGUGAGGCACUGGCACAGGUUACCCAGAGAUGUGGUUGAUGCCCCAUCCCUGGAGACGCUCAGGGUCAGGGUGGACAGGGCUCUGAGCACCUGAUGGAGCUGUAGGUGUCCCUGUUCUAAAGUUACCUAAAUGUUGUUGAACAAGAGAAAAAGACAUCCCUCCAGCCAGCAUCUGAAGCAGUACAAUGAAGCUACAGCCUUGAGCUGCACUUGUCUGGCUGCUGUGUGAGUAGCAGUUGGAGGUGCGUGUGGCAACAGGCAUCAGGAGAUUACUUGCUUCAGUAACUUGGGUUGGGUGUUCAGUACCCAAAGUAAACACUCCAAUUGCAGGUUUGUGAAAAGACUUAAUAUCCUUUUCCUUUUUCCUUCUUUUUUCUUUUUUCUUUUCCAAAGAACAAUUCGGCAGCAUCUUAAAGCAUCUGUAUGACCUGUAUGUACAGCACAGAGAGUGAAACUGAACUCAGUAACUGUUUCACCAAGCAGCAACUGGAAAAGGAUAGGAGGAACAAUAAGGCAUUUAUGCAAUGCUCCAUAUGCAUCAGCCUCAGCCAUCUGGGAUCCAGGUGAUCCGUGCUCCCAAGGACAUCCCAGACACACAGAGCGUUACCCGGGGCUGACCUACGCUCACAUCAGUUGCAUUCAUGAAACAACACAACCAAAGGAGGUGUCCAUGUCUUGCUGGAAGGAAUACCCCGAGAUAUUAAAAUGACUGUUUGUCCAAAAGUAUAUAUAUAUAUUAAUCCACAGAAACAAGAUUCCAAAAGAAAACUAAACACUGAACUUGGUCAGCUGAACUAUGUGACAGUGUUCUCUGAGCACUGCCUUGAUGCCAGUGCUAGUCUAGGCAGAGGGAGAACCUUAUCCUUGGUGCAUGUCAGCAGAUCAGUCCAAGAGUUCCAUGCAUAUCCCAAGUAUUGACAGCACCAAGUAUGGAUCCUGCUUGCACAGAAAGCUCUCCAUGUUUAAUUUGAAAUUAAGAUUUUUUUCAUUCUGAUUUUUUUCAAAACAAAAAUGAUGGAGCUAAAGUUCUAUGCAACCAGAAAAUCAAUGGAAAAGAAGGCCCUUUGAAAGCUAAAAGCUUCAAAUGCACUGCUGAUCUUCAAAACUUUGCAGAUAAAAGAAAAAAUAUCCGCCCAUUUCUGGAUUUCAUUGAAAUCAGAAAUUGCAUGCUCUGCACUCCCAUAUGAAUGUCAAAUCUUGCACCUCAUCAGCAUUUAUCAUUAUUCCCACUUAAAAAUGAAUCUGUCACAGAUGAAGUGGAAGGUCGAACGAGCUCAUUGGCCCCUGGCUGGUGCGUGCUUCCCAAAGCUAAAUUCCAGAAGAGUACACAAGAGGACAAAAAGGAUGCAGAAGAGCAACAGAAAGGAGCUCAGCUCGGGGAAAGAGGAGAGCUGCUUUCUGCACGGAUGUCUGAAAUGCCUAAACCAGCCUGAUGCUCACACCAGCUGAGCCAAACUCUGGCCUCCCUGGGGAGUAGCAUCAUGGUGGCCACAGCCUGGGGAGCUCCAGUUCAAUGAUAACCAAUUGUGGGGCUGUCCUCUAGGAAAGCAUCAGUUGCUUAAUGUUCCAUUGUUAAAAAUGGAUGGGAUUAAAGAAAAGUAAGGCCUAAAAAUACAGGCUCAAUGAACUUGCUGAGAAGGCGGCUUCUUUGCUGGAUCUUAAACCCUUGCUCAUCUCACAGUGUUUGUUUCUGUGAAGGUGUGCAUGCCGUUGUUCUACACACAUCUAAUAUAUGCAUGGCAGUGUGCCUCUUGGCUUUUUCUUUUUAUUUAAUCUUUGACUUGACAGCGUUGGAACUUGCUUCUCUGUGAAACUGGAGAAGGAGGGAUUGUUGUGUGCGUCAGGAUUUGCUAUUGUUUUGUUUCUUUCCCUUUUAUUGAGUUACAUAAAGAAUCCCAGCAAUUCCUGGCUGCUCCUGAGUGCUCAGGUGUCCAUUUGUUUAUUUUUGUUGGACUCAGGUUGUACUUGGUGCAAAGACCACCACAUUGGCCACCACUGGAUGGAUGGUUUAGGACACUGAUGAGGGCAGCUGGCCCAGCAAGGAGCCUUAUUUUUACAGCAGCAGAGAAACCUGCCCUUCACUUUUGUUUGGUUGCAUUUGUAACACCCUUCAAGUGUUUUUAAUUUGGGAUUUUCUUCUAGAUGAUCUCAGGAUGAACAACUUCCCCAGAACCCUCCUCCCAUGAAACAACAAUUCAUAAAACCAGAGAAGUGCCCAGGAGCAAAAUACCCUCCAGAUAAUUGAGAGCCAGCUUUGUGAAUUUCUGCUUUGAUAACAGAAAUCAUACAAAAAACUGAGCUGGAAGAAAUUUUUAAGGUCAUCUUACCCUUCCACCAGCCUCCAGAUAGGAUCUGCUGUGCUGAAGGUGCUGGAUUUCAGAUAGUUAUCUCAGCCAUUGCUCAGACCUUCCCAUGGCAGUGUUUUCACACAGCUAAUCAUCCCAGCAAUUCAUGAGUCUCACAACUGGAAAAUGUCUCUUAACAUCUCACCUGAAUUUCCUUUGUUGCACUUUAAGCCCAUUACUUCCUUUCCUGUCCCCAGCAGACAUGAAGAGCAGUUUAUCCUUCCUCUUUGCAGUAGCCUUUCACAUACUUGAAGGGUGUUAUCACGUCUAACCGUCUUCAAUCCCCUAGACUAAACAAACCCAACUCUUUCAGUCUUUCCUCAUAGCUCAUGUUUUCUAGCCCUCUGAUCGCUCUUGUUCCUGCCUUCCUGCUGGACGCUCUCCAGUUGGUCAACAACUGUCUUGGAGCCUGAUGCUCACAAGUGGACACAGAUUGAUUCAACAGGUUAUUUCAGGUCAAAAACAGAGAAGAGUAAUUUCGAAGUGGGAGACCCUCACCAUUAAUGACCUACUUGCACCAGCUGCAGCACCUCUGUGAAACUUGGCUCUGGGUCAAACUGGCAGUCUCCCUGAGAAGUGGUAUACUCACAGAUGAAUAUCAGCAACUCGGAUUCAUCCUGGAACCUAAAAGGCAGCUGAAGCCAAAAAAAAAAAAAAAAAGACAAACAACAUCCUCUCAAUAGUCUGUUAGUAGAAAACUCAGGGACAAAUGACAAAUGGCAUUGUCCUGUUGUCACAGAACAGGGGCUUCUUCCUUUCCAUUUCCCAACGCUUAUUCUUCAGCUGAAGGAACAUGCAGGUAUGUGUAAUAUUGCACUUGCGAAAAGUCCAAAGCAAGCCCCAGGAAGACUUGUCUGUACAUUCAGCACAGUGCAAAGCCUGGAGGGAGGUGAACUCACUUUGGAAAUCACGGCAUAUUGGCUUCUAAGCAAGGAGGAUGGACUUAUUCACUGGACCAUGCUGACACAGCUCUUGAGCUCCUGGUCCUGCUGCCAGCUCUAUGGCCAGCACUGGGAUCCUUGCAGCACACUUCAUCGUAUGGUGUGGAAUUGCCCUAAGAAGCUCAUUGGGUUGUGGGAAAGGUUUUUACUCCUAGAGUCAGUUUUCAGGGCAGAAGGACUUCUGCUGUCUGGCUUUCUUGUCACAUUGCAGACUUUUUCCCUUGAAAUUGCUCUUUCCAAACUAACCUUAAUACCCCUCAAAGAGCACUUCAUUAGCCAAAAUCUUUCGCUUCUGUCAAGAGAAGACAAUGGAAGGACGUGUCAAAACAGCUAUGCUGCUACACCUCAGGCAAGGCUCAGCUCUCUUCUGGGGAACUGCUCCAUUACAUAUUGGCUAGGAUUUGUGCCAAGAUUUGUCAGUUAAUAUUUGCAAAAUUUAAUCACAACAGCCCAGAUUCUGCAUUGCUUUAAUCCCAUUGAAUUGUUCCUUAGUCCGUGGCAAGCGCCUCCUGUUUCAAUUAGACCGUUCAUGGUUAUGGGUGCUUUUGAAUAAGAAGGGAUCAAAACCUCAUUCUAGAAAUCUGGUUUCAAAAUGUCUUCAUCCAAAAGAGGACUGCAUUUCAGCUUCUGAAUUCAUAGUAUAUUAUAAAAAGGGAAGGUUUAAAUGAAUACCAUACCUGGACCAUUGUAGCAAAUGACUGUGAGGACCAGACUUGCUGAGAAGAGGAGAUGAGUGCAGCUUGGCUCUUUGCAAUGCAUCUCCCUGGAAUUUUCCUCCUUUAAAUGAAAGAGAGAUCAAACCAGAAAAAUAAGCAGGUCCUACUCCAAGAGGCAGGAUUGCCUCCUGAGUGCCAGAUAAUAAUAAACGAUGUGUUUGUAAUCCAAAGCAGAGAGACACUGGCAUUUUCUUCGACAUCAAAUGCAAAAAGGGAACAAAUAGUUCUGUAAAGUGCUUUUACAAUGCAAGGUGAAAGAUCUUUCACAAGAGAGAGAAUACUCUCUGGGGACGGCUGUUUGUAUCUUUUCAUUUUACAUCAGCGUGAAGAAUCUGGAAAAAAAGGAGAACUGUAUACGUACCUAAUAGCACAUAAUUUGAGGAAGAAAAGAGAUGAAACUACUGUUAAGAAGAGUCAAUUAAAAAAAUAUACCCAGGAAGGAGAAGAGACUGAAGGGGAAAAAGCUUGUAAGCACUUCUUUGUGCUGAGGUUUUUUAUCUCAGCCCAAAAGUUCCUUCUGAAUGGAACUGCACAGAGGGGAAAUCCCACCUCCUCCGGGAGGCAGCCACUGUGGGACCUGGCGGGUGCUCCUGGCAGCAGCAGCACGGGGCUGCCAGGGAAGCAGAGGAUCCGUGCAGCCCAGCUGGGGGAAAUUAAUUCCAGCAGAACAGAGCUGAUUCAGUUAUAAUUUGACUAGACCUCUCCUCCACAAACACCACAUGCCCUCCAGAAUGAUAUGAGAGCAGCUCCAAAAGUAAUGCCUUCUGUGUUAAUAGGUUGGCCCACAACAUUAGAGGCAGACGUUGGUGGUACAGCAGCAGAGGUUGAACCUUCCCACCAGUAUUCCAUUACAUGUUGUUGCCGUGUGACAGAUGGCAGCAGAGGAACAGUCUGACACAAUGGCAUCUGACGUGGAAGUACGUAAGAAGCAAAGGUGUGUCACUGAAUUCCUCCAUGUGGAAAAAAAUGGCACCCACUGACGUUCACCAAUGACUGCUGAAUGUUUACGGAGACCAAACAGUGGACGUGAGCACGGUGAAAGCUGGACAGUGUGGGCAACGUUUUCCUAGCAACAAUGCCAUCGUAGCAGCUGGGAAACAGUGGGUCACUUCUGCUGGUGCAGAUUUUUAUGAGCAUGUCAUGCAGGCUCUUGUUCAUUGCUGGUGAAAACACAGAGCUAAUGGUGGUGACUGUGUUGAAAAGUACUGUUUUGUAGUUAAGAAUUUGCUCUAUCAAAUACUGUUAUUGUGCUCUUUGUAUCUGUUGUGGUUUCCAUGAAAAUGAAUAGGAGGCACUACUUCUGGAGUGACCUACAUAUUUCAUGCAAUCGUAUAGUCUGGGCUCAGUCCUGUGCCCCAUCAGAAGAUUAGAGGGCAGGAUUAAACUUUGUGCAGAACAUUUUACCUCUGUGCAUCAAUUCCACCUUUUAAAAAGUGUGACGAGCUUUAUUCUCUGGUUAUUUCCUAAAGACACAGGUUGGCUCAGCAGUCCUGGCUUCCACUGGAACACCUGCUCUUUACAGGCUCUGCUGACUGAAGGACAAGGUAAUUAGGUAACUUACCCAAAGGUCACAUGAAUGUGGCAGCACGUACGCAGGGCUGGGCUGCCUCACAUUUCCUCAGCACUAUUUUGGAAAAAGAAGAAAACACAAAAGAAAGCAAACAAAGAACUCACCCCUGAAAGAGCUUUGAAAAGCCAUCGUAUCUGGAUAGGCAGGAGGGUGAAGACCAGGACUGAAAUAAACUUCCAACACCUCAUGUCUCAUCCCCAGUUGCUGGCCCUCUCACGUGCCAAGAGUUGAGACACACCGAGAGUUGAGAACCUCAGAAACAUCGCUGUUUCUAUUCCUGCAGCAGUCCCAAGCACUAGUUUGUUAUUAAUGACUCCGAACUGGCAAAAGAGUCCGGAGCAAGACAUUAUAAUCAGAGCAUCUCACACUAAGAUACCAUACUAUCCACUCUAAGAGCUUUUCGUAAACCUUGAUUAAAACUCUAAGAGGAAAGGGCAAGCUUUCUCUGUGCAUUUUUAUCAGCAAGCAAUGGUGAGUUUGCAUGUUUUGCCACCUCCUUGUCACUCACUGCAGAAGUACUCAGAGGGAACAUGACUGCCCAUCUGAACCAAAGAUUUCCCUCAGCCAACUCCCCUGCAACCACAUCCCCUCACGAGUUCUUUCAGCAAGACCCUUAGAUUCUACCACUUUGGUUCUACCAUUCAUAAACUGAUGUGCAAGCAGCUACAUCUGCUCAUCCGCCUUUGUGAAAGCACCCAUCCAUCAGCCACCUAAAAUAAGCAGCUGGAGUUACCCCUCACCUACAGCUCUGAGGACAUCACCGAGUUUGUGUAACCUUGGGUGGCUGCCUGCUCCUGGGGCAGUCCUGGCAAAUGCAGUUCUCACCUGCUCUGUGCAUUAGCAUUGUCCAUCUCAGCGGCCCAAAAGGUUGGGUGCAGGGUUAUGUAUGCCUUCUGAAAUGGGCAGUGAUCUCUUCCACGGCCACUGAGCUCAGAAAGCAUGCCCUGUACCUACAAGACCAGUCACCCACCAAAAAGUGAAAUGGCAGAAAGCACUUGUGUACAAAGCGCUCAUGGCAUUUGCACAGGGCCUUGACUGGGUGCUGGACACAUAAUACUUCUGGAGACUCUGUAAGUCAUGCACAGCCCCUGCUGUAUCACAGCCAUGUAUGGUCACUUGUGACUUGGUAAUGUCAUUAGAGGUCACCAGCACCACCAAAAAUUCUUCAGCCUGGAAUUGUUUUAUGAAAGAUCAAACCUUUCAAAAAUAAUAAAUUUUUCACUACAUCAAAGACAGUUUACUAACAUUCAAUGAAAACCUUUUCCUUAGAUUCUGGAAGAAGGAACGAGCCUCAUAAAAUAAUAAAUAUCUUUGCAUUUUAUCUCCUAUGCCUCUAUCUAUGGAGGUAUUUAUAUGGCCCCCAUAACUGGUCUCUGGGCCCUUACCUGACCUGAUUAGAGAACAGAUCUACUAAACAAAGCCAUGAUUUGUGUGCACACCAAACUGGUCUUCUUAAUAUAGCUUUCUGGAGGAGAGACAAAUUUGCUAGGGAAGUGGAGUUAAUAAGAAAUGAGUUGCUGCAACAAGUUUAUUUGUUGUAGAGGACACUGUUUGGUUGCAACACGUUUUUUUUUUUGUUGUUGCUGUUUGGUUGAUGCCAUGCAAUUUAAAGAGUUUAUCCCUUAAGGGCAGACAGAAGAGCCAAUCAAAACACCGGGGGCCUGAAACUUCACUAUACAUCUCAUCUUUUGCAAAGCAGAAGCAUUCAUAUACCUGAGUCUCGGCCCACUGGUGAAUUCCCCAUGAGUGGGGAUAUCAACAGAAGAGAUCCUACAAUCUCUUUGCAGAGAAGUAGGACAAAUGAAAGUGACCAGACCCAUGGUGCACCGCAGCUACCCUACAUGCCAGAAGAGGCAUCUCUGUCCCUUUGCCACUGCCUGGUCCAGUCCCAGCCUCGGGGCUGCCUUGUCCCUGUAGCCAUGCCCUGUUUAUGGGAAUGGGGGAUGAGUGCUGAGCCUCACUUCUACUUCAAUGGGGACUCUGCACUCUGCUGAUAGGAGGGAACAAGUUGCAACUUUCCUGAGAGCGAAAGGCCACUGCCCUUGGAAGAGCACCUGCACAAUAAGUCGUUUUGGAGGAUUGCUGGGCCAACCUGGGAUGCUGGAACUUGUAAGCUAGCAGCACCAAAAGGUAUGCCAUGCCCAAUCUCUGAAGCAAUACCACAAUCUGCACUGCUCUCCAAAGCAGCACUCUUACACUUCCAGAUGAUCUCAGACAACACCUGGGAGGCCCCAGCCACUGACUCGGAGAUGCCACUUGAAGUCAUGGAGGGGCUUAAGAGGCCAAGAGACUUUUUUUGCAGGGUUUACUUCUUGAAAUGCUUUCACCCCAUUGAAAGAUGGAAUGCCAAAACCAGGCACAAAACCUCUCAAAGAAAGCCCUUCCAGGCUCCAGCUCAGCAUGCCACCUGCCGUCAUCAUUUCUCCAACUGUUCUCAGGGGGCUCUUACAGCAGACGCAUUGGGCUGCAGCCAAGUUGGCAUGAAGUUUGCAUGAAUCUUGAGACAUUUUAUGACCUUAAUAAUGUUUAGCAGAAAUAAGCAGGGCUGUUUGCAGCUCAGGCCCAACCUAGUUAAAAGCAUUUCUUAGCAGGGUGGUGGGCACAUAAAUCAGUGUCUAUCCUCUUGCCUCUCUGUCAUUGACCUUUCUGUGGGAGGAGAAGCUGCACAGAGACAUGCGGAUUGCAGAGUACGCUCAUGUGCCAUUGUGCUGGCACCGUAUCCAUUACGAGCUUCUGCCCUUAUUCUUAGAGGACAUGUUCCAGUAAUAAUAUACCCCAGUGAACUUUUCCAUUAUGAGAUCAUGAUUUCUUCCAUGGGAGAUUCAGUAACACGUUACAAUUUACUAGCCUUUAGUUAGCCAGUAAGAAUUUUCUCACUGCAGCAAUGCAGUGCUGCACUUUUCUGAAGUGAUAAAGUCGUGUUCAACCUUUUAAACAGAGAUUCACUUCCACUUUUACACCUGUGAAAAGGAAACUUUUCUUGCAGAAAACUGAGCCUGCAUUUUCAUAUACUGCAUUUUAUACACCUGAUUUAUGCUUCCCGUCAGACAGCUCUGAAGGCCAAAUACUUGGACUGACAACCAUGAAAAAAUUGUGA
This is a long non-coding RNA of Gallus gallus (chicken), 12636 nucleotides long. RefSeq lists it as uncharacterized. NCBI's taxonomy places the organism in Eukaryota, Metazoa, Chordata, Aves, Galliformes, Phasianidae. The transcript has 4 exons. The record is from RefSeq and is a predicted model, not a curated record.